AGAUUAUAUAAUUUAAUAAAAAUAUUGAUUUUGUAAUUCAAAAAUUAACUUAACGUUAUUUAAUCUUC
RNAcentral lists this transfer RNA (68 nucleotides) under Yuukianura szeptyckii. Its description in RNAcentral is "tRNA-Thr". Lineage: Eukaryota; Metazoa; Arthropoda; Collembola; Poduromorpha; Neanuridae. The record is from RNAcentral.